This 72-nucleotide transfer RNA is filed under the name Caulobacter phage CcrBL9. It matches the Rfam family "tRNA". Rfam says of the family: Transfer RNA (tRNA) molecules are approximately 80 nucleotides in length. Lineage: Duplodnaviria; Heunggongvirae; Uroviricota; Caudoviricetes; Jeanschmidtviridae. The record is from Rfam by way of RNAcentral.
GGGGACGUAGCUCAGGGGUAGAGCGCCUGCUUUGCAAGCAGGAUGUCGUGGGUUCGAAUCCCACCGUCUCCA